Molecule: ribosomal RNA, 482 nt
Filed under: uncultured bacterium
Lineage: Bacteria
Description: partial 16S ribosomal RNA
Rfam family: Bacterial small subunit ribosomal RNA (bases 72-482)
Source: RNAcentral
GGGGGGGGGGGGGGGGGGGGGGGGGGGGGGGGGGGGGGGGGGGGGGGGGGCGGGGGGGGCGGGCGGGUGGCGAAGGGGUGAGUCAGGGCUCGGAAGGGGCGGGGUCGGGGGAGAUAGCUGGUCGAAGGGGUGUGUGAUUGCGCCUACGUUAUGUGAGUGAAGGCGGGUGACCGUAGGACGUCGGUACUGUGGUGAGCGUGAUGUCAGAUCAGGUAGUUGGUGGGGGAAGGGCGCACCAAGCCAAUGAUGGGUAGCUGGUCUGAAUGGAUAACCAGCCACACUGGGACUGAGACACGGCCAAGACUCCUACGGGAGGCAGCAGUGGGGAAUUUUGGACAAUGGGCGCAAGCCUGAUCCAGCAAUGCCGCGUGCAGGAAGAAGGCCUUCGGGUUGUAAACUGCUUUUGUACGGAACGAAACGGCUCUGGUUAAUACCCGGGGCUAAUGACGGUACCGUAAGAAUAAGCACCGGCUAACUACGUG